AACGAACGCUGGCGGCGCGCCUAAUACAUGCAAGUCGAGCGAGAAGACGUAGCAAUACGUUUGUAAAGCGGCGAACGGGUGAGGAAUACAUGGGUAACCUACCCUCGAGUGGGGAAGUAACUAGCCGAAAGGUUAGCUAAUACCGCGUACGCUCCUUGGACUUCGGUUCAGGGAGGAAAGCGAUACCGUGGGUAUCGCGCUCUUGGAUGGGCUCAUGUCCUAUCAGCUUGUUGGUGAGGUAACGGCUCACCAAGGCUUCGACGGGUAGCUGGUCUGAGAGGACAAUCAGCCACACUGGCACUGCGACACGGGCCAGACUCCUACGGGAGGCAGCAGUAAGGAAUAUUGCGCAAUGGGCGAAAGCCUGACGCAGCGACGCCGCGUGGGGGA
Molecule: ribosomal RNA, 390 nt
Filed under: uncultured bacterium
Lineage: Bacteria
Description: bacterial SSU rRNA
Rfam family: Bacterial small subunit ribosomal RNA
Source: RNAcentral